ACUCAAGGGACCAGUUUAAAAACAUGACAUUGGUUUAAAAUAACAUAUAAAAUCAAUACAUAUUUCAAGAAUUGAUAGAUAGUUUUAAUUUUGUAAUUUGAAAAUUAUCUGGAUAGAUCUGCUAGCAGAGAGCAAUAGUUUUAAAAUCAGACAUUUAGUUGUCAAAGCUCUUCUUGGCAAGUCAUUCCACAAUCUAGAGGCAGCUGAAGAAAAAGUCCUUUGGUUGCUAAACAAAAAAAACCUUUUACCUGGUUUUCUUAGGCCCCUUCUACACAGCUGUAUAAAAUUCAGAGUAUCUGCUUUGAACUGGAUUAUAUGGCAUUUGUAUGCCAUAUAACAUCAUCCUCAUGGAGAGGAUGCCUACUCUCCAUGAAUCUUCCUGUUCAUUCCUUUCAUGUAUAGUGAUAAAUUUGCAAUGAGCAUGUUUAUGCAAUUUUUUUCUGACCCAAAACAGAAUUCUAAUGUUUGGGAGAUAUGCCCCAUGUCUAAAGUAUCAAUUGUGUUCCAUCUCAAGACCAAAAGCCAGAAAAUAGAUGCUACAGCUUCACCACACACACAUAAAGCAUACAUGUAUAUACACACAUACAUGUAUGGCCAAUGACUAAAAUCUGGGGCAAUUUUGGUGGAUAACAGUGCCAUCAACUGUAUAUAAUUAGCGGGUUAAUUCUAUGUGGAUUUUAUAACAAAGGCUAUUGUCUUUAGGAGAACAGGGUUAAGAUCAUCAAUGAUUAAUAGAAGUCCUGUUCUGUAUCUCACCAUUGCUUGAACCUUGUUUACCUUGAAAUGGGAAGAAUAUGUUAUAUGCUGGUCUGCCUAGCUUUUGAAAUUCUCUGUAUUGAAAGGCCCACCCCUAUCCUUCUCUGAUGGCUUUCCAUUAGGGUGUUAGGACUAUUUCUCCUGAAAAGUCUUUUAAGCUAUAGUUUUGACCUUCUUAAUACUGGAUUUUCAAUUGGUAACUUUUAAAAAUUCCAAUGGUCAGUUUUAAUUGAUUUUUAAUUCUGGCUUGGUUUUGGAUUUUAUCUGCUCUUUGUUUUGUGUAUUAUUGUUGUUUUGUUAUUUUACAGGUGUUUAAAUGUUGCCUGUUGUUGUUGGCUUUUUGUGGGAUAGUUGUAAAGGUAUUUUCAGUAUAACUAUAGGCUCCCUUGCCAUGUAGAGCAUGUCCUAUUAUAUGACAUCACAGGAGAAUCCAUUGUGAUCAUCAUUUUCCAUAGCCUUCAACCUCCGUAUAAAUAGGUAUGAUUCACCACUUGCAACCGUAGGCUUCCACAAGGCAGGUGAUACUCCAAUUGCUAAGACCUUGAAAGCAAAAAGAUCAUCAGAUGGCAAGUUUUGUACGUGGUAAAAGCUUGAGCCUAACCCGCCAACGCCGUCGGAGGGGACGAAAAAGCAAAGGAGGUGGACGUGGAAGGGGGCGCAGGAGACGACGCCAUGGCAAAAAGAAAGGUCAUAAGUCCCGUGGCCGCAGAAGAAGGAGAAGACAUCACUAAAACUCUUCCCUUUUUAUGGUGUCCUGUGUCCUUGACUCUGAAAGCCAUCAGACAAAUCAACCAACCAACCAAAUGAAACAACUUUUCAUAAGAACACCCAGGAUACCAUUCUGAGAUUCAAGGAGCCUGCAGCAAUGUGAACAAAAUCACCUGUCAAUAAAAUGCUGAAAUGUCA
Anolis carolinensis (green anole) is the source of this 1662-nucleotide long non-coding RNA. RefSeq lists it as uncharacterized. Lineage: Eukaryota; Metazoa; Chordata; Lepidosauria; Squamata; Anolidae. The transcript is spliced from 2 exons. The record is from RefSeq and is a predicted model, not a curated record.